GCCUCUGUAGCAUAGUAGCUAUUGCGCUUCCUUGGUAAGGAAGAGGUCGCGGGUGCAAAUCCCGUCAGAGGCU
This 73-nucleotide transfer RNA is filed under the name Candidatus Woesearchaeota archaeon. Its description in RNAcentral is "tRNA-Thr". It matches the Rfam family "tRNA". From Rfam's summary of the family: Transfer RNA (tRNA) molecules are approximately 80 nucleotides in length. Their secondary structure includes four short double-helical elements and three loops (D, anti-codon, and T loops). Further hydrogen bonds mediate the characteristic L-shaped molecular structure. tRNAs have two regions of fundamental functional importance: the anti-codon, which is responsible for specific mRNA codon recognition, and the 3' end, to which the tRNAs corresponding amino acid is attached (by aminoacyl-tRNA synthetases). tRNAs cope with the degeneracy of the genetic code in two manners: having more than one tRNA (with a specific anti-codon) for a particular amino acid; and 'wobble' base-pairing, i.e. permitting non-standard base-pairing at the 3rd anti-codon position. The record is from RNAcentral. Lineage: Archaea; Nanobdellati; Candidatus Woesearchaeota.